This 802-nucleotide ribosomal RNA is filed under the name uncultured bacterium. Its description in RNAcentral is "bacterial SSU rRNA". It matches the Rfam family "Bacterial small subunit ribosomal RNA", at positions 8 to 796 of the family's 1533-position model. The record is from RNAcentral.
AGAGUUUGAUCCUGGCUCAGGACGAACGCUGGCGGCGUGCCUAACACAUGCAAGUUGAGCGACGAACCAGGGCUUGCCCUGGGGCAAAGCAGCGAACGGGUGAGUAACACGUGGGUAACCUGCCCCGAUGACCGGGACAACCCGAGGAAACUCGGGCUAAUACCGGAUGUGCCUGCCGAACAUCAGUUUGGUAAGCAAAGGAAGCUUCGGCCUCCGCAUUGGGAGGGGCCCGCGGCCCAUUAGCUAGUUGGUGGGGUAACGGCCUACCAAGGCAACGAUGGGUAGCUGGUCUGAGAGGACGAUCAGCCACACUGGGACUGAGACACGGCCCAGACUCCUACGGGAGGCAGCAGUGGGGAAUCUUGCGCAAUGCGCGAAAGCGUGACGCAGCAACGCCGCGUGGGGGAAGAAGGCCUUCGGGUUGUAAACCCCUUUCAGGAGGGACGAAGGUUCGGCGGUGAAUAGCCGACCGGACUGACGGUACCUCCACAAGAAGCCCCGGCUAACUACGUGCCAGCAGCCGCGGUAAUACGUAGGGGGCAAGCGUUGUCCGGAAUCAUUGGGCGUAAAGCGCGCGUAGGCGGCCCGGUAAGUCCGUUGUGAAAGUCAAAGGCUCAACCUUUGAAUGCCGAUGGAUACUGUCGGGCUAGAGUCCGGAAGAGGCGAGUAGAAUUCCUGGUGUAGCGGUGGAAUGCGCAGAUAUCAGGAGGAAUACCCAUAGCGAAGGCAGCUCGCUGGGACGGUACUGACGCUGAGGCGCGAAAGCGUGGGGAGCGAACAGGAUUAGAUACCCUAGUAGUCC